Patella vulgata (common limpet) is the source of this 1256-nucleotide long non-coding RNA. RefSeq lists it as uncharacterized. The transcript is spliced from 3 exons. The record is from RefSeq and is a predicted model, not a curated record. Lineage: Eukaryota; Metazoa; Mollusca; Gastropoda; Patellidae.
GGGAAAAGGCACGCGCUGUCUUUACGAGUAACAGACGAGGGCCCGCGUGACUGGAAACCAAACCUCAAGUUAUUGUUGUAUUUGAUUGCGAAAAGUUGCAAGAUUGUUUUUUCAUUGUUGAUCGUGCGAAUAGUUAACGUCUGCCUAGAGAAAAGAAGACAAUUUAUAAACCAAAAAAACAACUACAACAACAGAAUGAAGAGUCACGUGACGUUAUUUGCUUGUGUUUUAUUGGCUGUAUGUGUAUAUGAAAGUGAGGCGGAAUGCGUGAGUGUAGUGGGAUGUAUGAGAGACCUAUUUGUCUGUAAAAGAAACGAACUAACCCAGAAUCUGGCCGUGGACUGCUGUAAGGUCUACAGGGACUGCUAUUUUGAAUGUAAACCAACCUCCCGAUCUCCACCGUGUAAAAAUAAAUCAGAAGGAAAGCGAGGUAGCUGGAAUAAGAGAUACAGUUAUGGCACCAACAUGUUGGGUGAUAUUCUCUCUGGUUACUAACUAUAUUACGUCAUUGGUUACCGAGCUCAAACAGGAAAUGAUGUCACCAACCAGGAUUUUCACAUUUUUACGAUCUUUCAUGCAAAAUAUUUUCAUUUUUUUUCUGCUCUAAACACUGCGUUUUAAUAGUAUCGGGUGACAAAUGAUUCACCCAAGACCCAGGGGCGCACAGCAGGGCUUAGUCCAGAUAGGCAAAUGGGUCGAUUUUUUUUGUCGAGUGGGCUGGGUUUUUUUUCGGGAAAAUGGACCGUUUGCCGGAGUCUCUUACACAUACAAUCAAACCAAAUUGAGGCCUACAAAUCAAUAUUACAUAAUUAUAUACUUACUAACUACUUUCAAUCUAACUGGGGGUAAUAAUUCAUUUCAAAUGCUGAGUGGGCCGAAUUUUUGAUGGCGCACCCCCUGGGAAAGUAUGUUUGUGCGCCCCUGCCAAGACUGUGUUUUAUUAAUAUCGCGUGACAAAUGAUUUUUUUUUUUAAAUAAGGAUUUUAUUUUGUGCUUAUAUAUACACUACACGCCGCCAUGUUCCUUUAUGAAUAUGCAUGAAUUAAUAUAUCUUCUCUAAUUGGAUUGUUUGAUCUUUCAGUGUGCCCUUAAUCUGUAUUAGUAAAUUACAUGGCUUGCCUUAACGACAUCAGGGGCCAAUUUAGCUCGUGUUGGGUUUCAGGGAGCGGUUAUUAUUCUGUCAAGGGAAUCGUUCAAAUUAAUUGUGUACAAAAUUUUAUUCAUGGAAUAAAGAUGAAUCAAUAAGAAAUAACAAA